Molecule: ribosomal RNA, 391 nt
Filed under: uncultured bacterium
Lineage: Bacteria
Description: bacterial SSU rRNA
Rfam family: Bacterial small subunit ribosomal RNA
Source: RNAcentral
GUGUCAGCAGCCGCGGUAAUACGAAGGUGGCAAGCGUUGUUCGGAUUCACUGGGCGUACAGGGUGUGUAGGCGGUUUGGUAAGCCUUCUGUUAAAGCUUCGGGCCCAACCCGGAAAGCGCAGAGGGUACUGCCAGGCUAGAGGGUGGGAGAGGAGCGCGGAAUUCCCGGUGUAGCGGUGAAAUGCGUAGAGAUCGGGAGGAAGGCCGGUGGCGAAGGCGGCGCUCUGGAACAUACCUGACGCUGAGACACGAAAGCGUGGGGAGCAAACAGGAUUAGAUACCCUGGUAGUCCACGCCCUAAACUAUGGAUACUAAGUGUCGGCGGGUUACCGCCGGUGCCGCAGCUAACGCAUUAAGUAUCCCGCCUGGGAAGUACGGCCGCAAGGUUGAA